Molecule: long non-coding RNA, 9331 nt
Organism: Salvelinus fontinalis (brook trout)
Lineage: Eukaryota; Metazoa; Chordata; Actinopteri; Salmoniformes; Salmonidae
Exons: 3
Source: RefSeq, a predicted model, not a curated record
CAAUGUCUAGCAAUCAAAUGUCUUUAUAAAGCCCUUUUUACAGCAGGAGUUGUUGUACCCACACCAUCUACAGUCACACUGGGGCUGAAUCCCACUAUAACCCUUAGUCCCUACUCUCUACUCUCUACUCACUAUCUACUGUCAGACUGGGGCCGAAUUCCACUAUAACCCUUAGUCCCUACUCCCUACUCACUAUCUACAGUCACACUGGAGCCGAAUCCCACUAUAACCCUUAGUCCCUACUCCCUACUCCCUACUCACUAUCUACUGUCAGACUGGGGCCGAAUCCCACUAUAACCCUUAGUCCCUACUCCCUACUCCCUACUCACUAUCUACUGUCAGACUGGGGCCGAAUUCCACUAUAACCCUUAGUCCCUACUCCCUACUCACUAUCUACAGUCACACUGGAGCCGAAUCCCACUAUAACCCUUAGUCCCUACUCCCUACUCCCUACUCACUAUCUACUGUCAGACUGGGGUCGAAUUGCACUAUAACCCUUAGCCCCUACUCUCUACUCCCUACUCACUAUCUACUGUCAGACUGGGGUCGAAUUCCACUAUAACCCUUAGCCCCUACUCUCUACUCCCUACUCACUAUCUACAGUCACACUGGAGCCGAAUCCCACUAUAACCUUUAGUCCCUACUCCCUACUCCCUACUCACUAUCUACUGUCAGACUGGGGCCGAAUUCCACUAUAACCCUUAGCCCCUACUCUCUACUCCCUACUCACUAUCUACAGUCAGACUGGGGCCGAAUUCCACUAUAACCCUUAGCCCCUACUCUCUACUCCCUACUCACUAUCUACAGUCAGACUGGGGCCGAAUUCCACUAUAACCCUUAGCCCCUACUCUCUACUCCCUACUCACUAUCUACAGUCAGACUGGGGCCGAAUUCCACUAUAACCCUUAGCCCCUACUCUCUACUCCCUACUCACUAUCUACAGUCAGACUGGGGCUGAAUCCCACUAUAACCCUCAGCCCCUACUCUCUACUCACUAUCUACUGUCAGACUGGGGCUGAAUCCCGCUAUAACCCUUAGCCCCUGGAUGAAUGAAGGCUGGAUGAAGGCCGUCAGUAGGUUUGUGGACCUGAGGGAGAGCUGUAUAGUAUAUGGAUGAAGGCCAUCAGUAGGUUUGGACCUGAGGGAGAGCUGUAUAGUAUAUGGAUGAAGGUAGUGGGUUUGUGGACCUGAGGGAGAGCUGUAUAGUAUAUGGAUGAAGGCAGUCAGUAGGUGUGUGGACCUGAGGGAGAGCUGUAUAGUAUAUGGAUGAAGGCCAGUCAGUAGGUGUGUGGACCUGAGGGAGAGCUGUAUAGUAUAUGGAUGAAGGCAGUCAGUAGGUGUGUGGACCUGAGGGAGAGCUGUAUAGUAUAUGGAUGAAGGUAGGUUUGAGGACCUGAGGGAGAGCUGUAUAGUAUAUGGAUGAAGGCAGUCAGUAGGUUUGUGGACCUGAGGGAGAGCUGUAUAGUAUAUGGAUGAAGGCCAUCAGUAGGUUUGUGGACCUGAGGGAGAGCUGUAUAGUAUAUGGAUGAAGGCCAGUCAGUAGGUUUGUGGACCUGAGGGAGAGCUGUAUAGUAUAUGGAUGAAGGCAGUCAGUAGGUUUGGACCUGAGGGAGAGCUGUAUAGUAUAUGGAUGAAGGCAGUCAGUAGGUUUGGACCUGAGGGAGAGCUGUAUAGUAUAUGGAUGAAGGCAGUCAGUAGGUUUGGACCUGAGGGAGAGCUGUAUAGUAUAUGGAUGAAGGCAGUCAGUAGGUUUGGACCUGAGGGAGAGCUGUAUAGUAUAUGGAUGAAGGCCAGUCAGUAGGUUUGGACCUGAGGGAGAGCUGUAUAGUAUAUGGAUGAAGGCCAGUCAGUAGGUUUGUGGACCUGAGGGAGAGCUGUAUAGUAUAUGGAUGAAGGCAGUCAGUAGGUUUGGACCUGAGGGAGAGCUGUAUAGUAUAUGGAUGAAGGCAGUCAGUAGGUUUGGACCUGAGGGAGAGCUGUAUAGUAUAUGGAUGAAGGCCAGUCAGUAGGUUUGUGGACCUGAGGGAGAGCUGUAUAGUAUAUGGAUGAAGGCCAGUCAGUAGGUUUGUGGACCUGAGGGAGAGCUGUAUAGUAUAUGGAUGAAGGUAGGUUUGUGGACCUGAGGGAGAGCUGUAUAGUAUAUGGAUGAAGGCAGUCAGGUUUGUGGACCUGAGGGAGAGCUGUAUAGUAUAUGGAUGAAGGCAGUCAGUAGGUUUGUGGACCUGAGGGAGAGCUGUAUAGUAUAUGGAUGAAGGUAGGUUUGUGGACCUGAGGGAGAGCUGUAUAGUAUAUGGAUGAAGGCAGUCAGUAGGUUUGUGGACCUGAGGGAGAGCUGUAUAGUAUAUGGAUGAAGGCAGUCAGUAGGUUUGUGGACCUGAGGGAGAGCUGUAUAGUAUAUGGAUGAAGGCAGUCAGUAGGUUUGUGGACCUGAGGGAGAGCUGUAUAGUAUAUGGAUGAAGGCCAUCAGUAGGUUUGUGGACCUGAGGGAGAGCUGUAUAGUAUAUGGAUGAAGGCAGUCAGUAGGUUUGUGGACCUGAGGGAGAGCUGUAUAGUAUAUGGAUGAAGGCAGUCAGUAGGUUUGUGGACCUGAGGGAGAGCUGUAUAGUAUAUGGAUGAAGGCCAUCAGUAGGUUUGUGGACCUGAGGGAGAGCUGUAUAGUAUAUGGAUGAAGGCAGUCAGUAGGUUUGUGGACCUGAGGGAGAGCUGUAUAGUAUAUGGAUGAAGGCAGUCAGUAGGUUUGUGGACCUGAGGGAGAGCUGUAUAGUAUAUGGAUGAAGGCAGUCAGUAGGUUUGUGGACCUGAGGGAGAGCUGUAUAGUAUAUGGAUGAAGGCAGUCAGUAGGUUUGUGGACCUGAGGGAGAGCUGUAUAGUAUAUGGAUGAAGGCAGGCAGUAGGUUUGUGGACCUGAGGGAGAGCUGUAUAGUAUAUGGAUGAAGGCCAUCAGUAGGUUUGUGGACCUGAGGGAGAGCUGUAUAGUAUAUGGAUGAAGGCCAGUCAGUAGGUUUGGACCUGAGGGAGAGCUGUAUAGUAUAUGGAUGAAGGCCAGUCAGUAGGUUUGGACCUGAGGGAGAGCUGUAUAGUAUAUGGAUGAAGGCCAGUCAGUAGGUUUGGACCUGAGGGAGAGCUGUAUAGUAUAUGGAUGAAGGCAGUCAGUAGGUUUGGACCUGAGGGAGAGCUGUAUAGUAUAUGGAUGAAGGCCAGUCAGUAGGUUUGUGGACCUGAGGGAGAGCUGUAUAGUAUAUGGAUGAAGGCCAGUCAGUAGGUUUGUGGACCUGAGGGAGAGCUGUAUAGUAUAUGGAUGAAGGUAGGUUUGUGGACCUGAGGGAGAGCUGUAUAGUAUAUGGAUGAAGGCAGUCAGGUUUGUGGACCUGAGGGAGAGCUGUAUAGUAUAUGGAUGAAGGCAGUCAGUAGGUUUGUGGACCUGAGGGAGAGCUGUAUAGUAUAUGGAUGAAGGUAGGUUUGUGGACCUGAGGGAGAGCUGUAUAGUAUAUGGAUGAAGGCAGUCAGUAGGUUUGUGGACCUGAGGGAGAGCUGUAUAGUAUAUGGAUGAAGGCAGUCAGUAGGUUUGUGGACCUGAGGGAGAGCUGUAUAGUAUAUGGAUGAAGGCCAGUCAGUAGGUUUGUGGACCUGAGGGAGAGCUGUAUAGUAUAUGGAUGAAGGCCAGUCAGUAGGUUUGGACCUGAGGGAGAGCUGUAUAGUAUAUGGAUGAAGGCCAGUCAGUAGGUUUGUGGACCUGAGGGAGAGCUGUAUAGUAUAUGGAUGAAGGCAGUCAGUAGGUUUGGACCUGAGGGAGAGCUGUAUAGUAUAUGGAUGAAGGCAGUCAGUAGGUUUGGACCUGAGGGAGAGCUGUAUAGUAUAUGGAUGAAGGCCAGUCAGUAGGUUUGUGGACCUGAGGGAGAGCUGUAUAGUAUAUGGAUGAAGGCCAGUCAGUAGGUUUGUGGACCUGAGGGAGAGCUGUAUAGUAUAUGGAUGAAGGUAGGUUUGUGGACCUGAGGGAGAGCUGUAUAGUAUAUGGAUGAAGGUAGGUUUGUGGACCUGAGGGAGAGCUGUAUAGUAUAUGGAUGAAGGCAGUCAGGUUUGUGGACCUGAGGGAGAGCUGUAUAGUAUAUGGAUGAAGGCAGUCAGUAGGUUUGUGGACCUGAGGGAGAGCUGUAUAGUAUAUGGAUGAAGGCCAUCAGUAGGUUUGUGGACCUGAGGGAGAGCUGUAUAGUAUAUGGAUGAAGGCCAUCAGUAGGUUUGUGGACCUGAGGGAGAGCUGUAUAGUAUAUGGAUGAAGGUAGGUUUGUGGACCUGAGGGAGAGCUGUAUAGUAUAUGGAUGAAGGUAGGUUUGUGGACCUGAGGGAGAGCUGUAUAGUAUAUGGAUGAAGGCCAUCAGUAGGUUUGUGGACCUGAGGGAGAGCUGUAUAGUAUAUGGAUGAAGGUAGGUUUGUGGACCUGAGGGAGAGCUGUAUAGUAUGUGGAUGAAGGCCAUCAGUAGGUUUGUGGACCUGAGGGAGAGCUGUAUAGUAUAUGGAUGAAGGCCGUCAGUAGGUUUGUGGACCUGAGGGAGAGCUGUAUAGUAUAUGGAUGAAGGCAGUCAGUAGGUUUGUGGACCUGAGGGAGAGCUGUAUAGUAUAUGGAUAAAGGCAGUCAGUAGGUUUGUGGACCUGAGGGAGAGCUGUAUAGUAUAUGGAUGAAGGUAGGUUUGUGGACCUGAGGGAGAGCUGUAUAGUAUAUGGAUGAAGGCAGUCAGUAGGUUUGUGGACCUGAGGGAGAGCUGUAUAGUAUAUGGAUGAAGGCAGUCAGGUUUGUGGACCUGAGGGAGAGCUGUAUAGUAUAUGGAUGAAGGCAGUCAGUAGGUUUGUGGACCUGAGGGAGAGCUGUAUAGUAUGUGGAUGAAGGCCAUCAGUAGGUUUGUGGACCUGAGGGAGAGCUGUAUAGUAUAUGGAUGAAGGCAGUCAGUAGGUUUGUGGACCUGAGGGAGAGCUGUAUAGUAUAUGGAUGAAGUCAGUAGGUUUGUGGACCUGAGGGAGAGCUGUAUAGUAUAUGGAUAAAGGCAGUCAGUAGGUUUGUGGACCUGAGGGAGAGCUGUAUAGUAUAUGGAUAAAGGCAGUCAGUAGGUUUGUGGACCUGAGGGAGAGCUGUAUAGUAUAUGGAUGAAGGCAGUCAGUAGGUGUGUGGACCUGAGGGAGAGCUGUAUAGUAUAUGGAUGAAGGUAGGUUUGAGGACCUGAGGGAGAGCUGUAUAGUAUGUGGAUGAAGGCCGUCAGUAGGUUUGUGGACCUGAGGGAGAGCUGUAUAGUAUGUGGAUGAAGGCCGUCAGUAGGUUUGUGGACCUGAGGGAGAGCUGUAUAGUAUAUGGAUGAAGGUAGUAGGUUUGUGGACCUGAGGGAGAGCUGUAUAGUAUAUGGAUGAAGGCAGUCAGUAGGUGUGUGGACCUGAGGGAGAGCUGUAUAGUAUAUGGAUGAAGGUAGGUUUGAGGACCUGAGGGAGAGCUGUAUAGUAUGUGGAUGAAGGCCGUCAGUAGGUUUGGACCUGAAGGAGAGCUGUAUAGUAUAUGGAUGAAGGCAGUAGGUUUGUGGACCUGAGGGAGAGCUGUAUAGUAUAUGGAUGAAGGCAGUCAGUAGGUUUGUGGACCUGAGGGAGAGCUGUAUAGUAUAUGGAUGAAGGCCAUCAGUAGGUUUGUGGACCUGAGGGAGAGCUGUAUAGUAUAUGGAUGAAGUCAGUAGGUUUGUGGACCUGAGGGAGAGCUGUAUAGUAUAUGGAUGAAGUCAGUAGGUUUGUGGACCUGAGGGAGAGCUGUAUAGUAUAUGGAUGAAGGCCAUCAGUAGGUUUGUGGACCUGAGGGAGAGCUGUAUAGUAUAUGGAUGAAGGCAGUCAGUAGGUUUGUGGACCUGAGGGAGAGCUGUAUAGUAUAUGGAUGAAGGCCGUCAGUAGGUUUGUGGACCUGAGGGAGAGCUGUAUAGUAUAUGGAUGAAGGCCAGUCAGUAGGUUUGUGGACCUGAGGGAGAGCUGUAUAGUAUAUGGAUGAAGGCCGUCAGUAGGUUUGUGGACCUGAGGGAGAGCUGUAUAGUAUAUGGAUGAAGGCCAGUCAGUAGGUUUGUGGACCUGAGGGAGAGCUGUAUAGUAUAUGGAUGAAGGCCAGUCAGUAGGUUUGUGGACCUGAGGGAGAGCUGUAUAGUAUAUGGAUGAAGGUAGGUUUGUGGACCUGAGGGAGAGCUGUAUAGUAUGUGGAUGAAGGCCAUCAGUAGGUUUGUGGACCUGAGGGAGAGCUGUAUAGUAUAUGGAUGAAGGCAGUAGGUUUGAGGACCUGAGGGAGAGCUGUAUAGUAUGUGGAUGAAGGCAGGCAGUAGGUUUGUGGACCUGAGGGAGAGCUGUAUAGUAUGUGGAUGAAGGCCAUCAGUAGGUUUGUGGACCUGAGGGAGAGCUGUAUAGUAUAUGGAUGAAGGUAGGUUUGUGGACCUGAGGGAGAGCUGUAUAGUAUAUGGAUGAAGGUAGGUUUGUGGACCUGAGGGAGAGCUGUAUAGUAUAUGGAUGAAGGCAGUCAGGUUUGUGGACCUGAGGGAGAGCUGUAUAGUAUAUGGAUGAAGGCAGUCAGUAGGUUUGUGGACCUGAGGGAGAGCUGUAUAGUAUAUGGAUGAAGGCAGUCAGUAGGUUUGUGGACCUGAGGGAGAGCUGUAUAGUAUGUGGAUGAAGGCAGUCAGUAGGUUUGUGGACCUGAGGGAGAGCUGUAUAGUAUAUGGAUGAAGGCCAUCAGUAGGUUUGUGGACCUGAGGGAGAGCUGUAUAGUAUAUGGAUGAAGGUAGGUUUGUGGACCUGAGGGAGAGCUGUAUAGUAUAUGGAUGAAGGUAGGUUUGUGGACCUGAGGGAGAGCUGUAUAGUAUAUGGAUGAAGGCAGUCAGUCGGUUUGUGGACCUGAGGGAGAGCUGUAUAGUAUAUGGAUGAAGGCCAUCAGUAGGUUUGUGGACCUGAGGGAGAGCUGUAUAGUAUAUGGAUGAAGGCCAUCAGUAGGUUUGUGGACCUAAGGGAGAGCUGUAUAGUAUAUGGAUGAAGGCCAUCAGUAGGUUUGUGGACCUGAGGGAGAGCUGUAUAGUAUAUGGAUGAAGUCAGUAGGUUUGUGGACCUGAGGGAGAGCUGUAUAGUAUAUGGAUGAAGGCAGUCAGUAGGUUUGUGGAACCGAAGGAGAGCUGUAUAGUAUAUGGAUGAAGGCAGUAGGUUUGUGGACCUGAAGGAGAGCUGUAUAGUAUAUGGAUGAAGGCAGUAGGUUUGUGGACCUGAGGGAGAGCUGUAUAGUAUAUGGAUGAAGGCCAUCAGUAGGUUUGUGGACCUGAGGGAGAGCUGUAUAGUAUAUGGAUGAAGGCAGUCAGUAGGUUUGUGGACCUGAGGGAGAGCUGUAUAGUAUAUGGAUGAAGGCCAUCAGUAGGUUUGUGGACCUGAGGGAGAGCUGUAUAGUAUAUGGAUGAAGGUAGGUUUGUGGACCUGAGGGAGAGCUGUAUAGUAUAUGGAUGAAGGCAGUAGGUUUGUGGACCUGAGGGAGAGCUGUAUAGUAUAUGGAUGAAGGCCAUCAGUAGGUUUGUGGACCUGAGGGAGAGCUGUAUAGUAUAUGGAUGAAGGCCAUCAGUAGGUUUGUGGACCUGAGGGAGAGCUGUAUAGUAUAUGGAUGAAGGUAGGUUUGUGGACCUGAGGGAGAGCUGUAUAGUAUAUGGAUGAAGGCAGUAGGUUUGUGGACCUAAGGGAGAGCUGUAUAGUAUAUGGAUGAAGGCCAUCAGUAGGUUUGUGGACCUGAGGGAGAGCUGUAUAGUAUAUGGAUGAAGGCAGUCAGUAGGUUUGUGGACCUGAGGGAGAGCUGUAUAGUAUAUGGAUGAAGGUAGUAGGUUUGUGGACCUGAGGGAGAGCUGUAUAGUAUAUGGAUGAAGGCAGUCAGUAGGUGUGUGGACCUGAGGGAGAGCUGUAUAGUAUGUGGAUGAAGGCCAGUCAGUAGGUUUGGACCUGAGGGAGAGCUGUAUAGUAUGUGGAUGAAGGCCAGUCAGUAGGUUUGGACCUGAGGGAGAGCUGUAUAGUAUAUGGAUGAAGGCCAGUCAGUAGGUUUGGACCUGAGGGAGAGCUGUAUAGUAUAUGGAUGAAGGCAGUAGGUUUGUGGACCUGAGGGAGAGCUGUAUAGUAUAUGGAUGAAGGCCAUCAGUAGGUUUGUGGACCUGAGGGAGAGCUGUAUAGUAUAUGGAUGAAGGCAGUCAGUAGGUUUGUGGACCUGAGGGAGAGCUGUAUAGUAUAUGGAUGAAGGCAGUCAGUAGGUUUGUGGACCUGAGGGAGAGCUGUAUAGUAUAUGGAUGAAGGUAGUAGGUUUGUGGACCUGAGGGAGAGCUGUAUAGUAUAUGGAUGAAGGCAGUCAGUAGGUGUGUGGACCUGAGGGAGAGCUGUAUAGUAUGUGGAUGAAGGCCAGUCAGUAGGUUUGGACCUGAGGGAGAGCUGUAUAGUAUAUGGAUGAAGGCCAGUCAGUAGGUUUGGACCUGAGGGAGAGCUGUAUAGUAUAUGGAUGAAGGCAGUCAGUAGGUUUGUGGACCUGAGGGAGAGCUGUAUAGUAUAUGGAUGAAGGCCAUCAGUAGGUUUGUGGACCUGAGGGAGAGCUGUAUAGUAUAUGGAUGAAGGCCAUCAGUAGGUUUGUGGACCUGAGGGAGAGCUGUAUAGUAUAUGGAUGAAGGCCGUCAGUAGGUUUGUGGACCUGAGGGAGAGCUGUAUAGUAUAUGGAUGAAGGUAGGUUUUAAGCCCCAUAAUGAGAAGCUGACGUCAGCUAAAUGAACAACCUCGUCCGCUACGUUCCUUUAACAUCCUCUUCAGCAGGAGCUGGCAGACGACGCAAUGAUAUCAAACGCUUCCCGACUCGUAAUAAAUAGAAUCUUCCAAGGUUCCAGAGGAAAGUGCAGUACUGUGAGUUCCUCUGCGCUCCAGUUAGCUGCUCUGUCUCUUAUCGUUGAGAUUCACUGGAAUGAGGAAGGAACGAGGGAACAGCCCCUCCACAACCUACAGCUGUGUGAUACCUGCUGCUGGAAUGAGGAAGGAACGAGGGAACAGCCCCUCCACAACCUACAGCUGUGUGAUACCUGCUGCUGGAAUGAGGAAGGAACGAGGGAACAGCCCCUCCACAACCUACAGCUGUGUGAUACCUGCUGCUGGCUUUGGUUCCUGACAAAAACAUCUGUAUGUGAGGGUUUUCUGCACAACAUAUGAUGCUAUGAACACUGUUCCGCAGGGUUCUCUAUGUGCCGCAGGGUUCUCUCUGUUCCGCAGGGUUCUCUAUGUUCCGCAGGGUUCUCUAUGUUCCGCAGGGUUCUCUCUGUUCCGCAGGGUUCUCUCU